UUGACAGGGAUGAUUCUCGAUCUGCAGAGUGUCCCGUGACAAGUCUUGGACCAUCAUCACGAAUUAGAGCAGGAUAUUUUGUUCUUGCGUGCACCUUUUUUUGUGAGACGUGAGGUGCACCGAUACUGUUCAUUCUUCUUAUGUCCCCAUGAGCGUCACGUCGCCUACGCAUCUUUAUCCAGCUGUAACACUGCUUGACAGCGACGACGAGGAACAGGC
RNAcentral lists this long non-coding RNA (219 nucleotides) under Coccomyxa subellipsoidea. Its description in RNAcentral is "long non-coding RNA (CSUB_LNC000390)". The record is from RNAcentral. Lineage: Eukaryota; Viridiplantae; Chlorophyta; Trebouxiophyceae; Coccomyxaceae.